UACGGGGGGGGCAAGCGUUGUUCGGAAUUACUGGGCGUAAAGGGCCAGUAGGCGGCCAACUAAGUCGGAUGUGAAAUCCCCAGGCUUAACCUGGGAACUGCAUCCGAAACUGGCAGGCUAGAGUACUAAAGAGGGUCGCGGAAUUCCCGGUGUAGAGGUGAAAUUCGUAGAUAUCGGGAGGAACACCGGUGGCGAAGGCGGCGACCUGGGUAGAUACUGACGCUGAGGUGCGAAAGCGUGGGGAGCAAACAGG
This 253-nucleotide ribosomal RNA is filed under the name uncultured bacterium. Its description in RNAcentral is "partial 16S ribosomal RNA". It matches the Rfam family "Bacterial small subunit ribosomal RNA", at positions 524 to 776 of the family's 1533-position model. The record is from RNAcentral.